GACGAACGCUGGCGGCGUGCUUAACACAUGCAAGUCGAACGGCAAGGCCCUGCUUUUGUGGGGUGCUCGAGUGGCGAACGGGUGAGUAACACGUGAGUAACCUGCCCUUGACUUUGGGAUAACUUCACGAAACUGGGGCUACUACCGGAUAGGAGCUCCUGCUGCAUGGUGGGGGUUGGAAAGUUUCGGCUGUUGGGGAUGGACGCGCGGCUUAUCAGCUUGUUGGUGGGGUAGUGGCUUACCAAGGCUUUGACGGGUAGCCGGCCUGAGAGGGUGACCGGCGACAUGGGUACUGAGAUACGGACCAGAGGCCUACGGGAGGCAGCAGGGGGGAAUAUGACACAAUGGGCGGAAGUCUGAUGCAGAGGCGUCGCGUGUGGGAUGACGGCCUGCGGGUAGUGAACCGCUGUCGCCUGUGACGAAGCGGGAGUGACGGUAAUGGGUAAAGAAGCACCGGCUAACUACGUG
This 468-nucleotide ribosomal RNA is filed under the name uncultured bacterium. RNAcentral's name for it is "partial 16S ribosomal RNA". It matches the Rfam family "Bacterial small subunit ribosomal RNA", at positions 28 to 507 of the family's 1533-position model. The record is from RNAcentral.